RNAcentral lists this small nuclear RNA (107 nucleotides) under Dasypus novemcinctus (nine-banded armadillo). The record is from RNAcentral. Lineage: Eukaryota; Metazoa; Chordata; Mammalia; Cingulata; Dasypodidae.
AUGCUCACUUUGGCAGCAUAUAUACUAAAAUUGAAAUGUUACAGAGAAGAAUAGCAUGGACUCUGUGUAUGGAUGACAUGCAAAUUUGUGAAGCAUUUCAUAUUAAA